CCAAGCCCGGAGCUGGCUCUCAAUUUCUGGGGGGGCACUCACUCCAGAAAGAAUGUAACCAAACGGUUGAGAUGAAAAAAAAUUUUUUCCGGAAUAUUCUGGCGACCUCCCCACCCCCCCCCGUCGCCAAAAAAUUUUCGGUCAGUGUACCAUUUUAGGGGUCAAAAAAAUUUAUCGGACAUAACAAUUUUUCCAAACAUACUCCAUUUUUCCGAAA
This is a non-coding RNA of Paramuricea clavata, 217 nucleotides long. Lineage: Eukaryota; Metazoa; Cnidaria; Anthozoa; Malacalcyonacea; Plexauridae. The record is from the annotation of a GenBank genome assembly.